GACGAACGCUGGCGGCGUGCUUAACACAUGCAAGUCGAACGGAAAGGCCCUGCUUGCAGGGUACUCGAGUGGCGAACGGGUGAGUAACACGUGGGUGAUCUGCCCUGCACUUCGGGAUAAGCCUGGGAAACCGGGUCUAAUACCGGAUAGGAGCCAUUUUUAGUGUGAUGGUUGGAAAGUUUUUUCGGUGUAGGAUGAGCUCGCGGCCUAUCAGCUUGUUGGUGGGGUAAUGGCCUACCAAGGCGGCGACGGGUAGCCGGCCUGAGAGGGUGGACGGCCACAUUGGGACUGGGAUACGGCCCAGACUCCUACGGGAGGCAGCAGUGGGGAAUAUUGCACAAUGGGCGCAAGCCUGAUGCAGCGACGCCGCGUGGGGGAUGACGGCCUUCGGGUUGUAAACUCCUUUCGCUAGGGACGAAGCUUUUUGUGACGGUACCUAGAUAAGAAGCACCGGCUAACUACGUG
This 465-nucleotide ribosomal RNA is filed under the name uncultured bacterium. RNAcentral describes it as "partial 16S ribosomal RNA". It matches the Rfam family "Bacterial small subunit ribosomal RNA", at positions 28 to 507 of the family's 1533-position model. The record is from RNAcentral.